This 545-nucleotide ribosomal RNA is filed under the name Lamellitrophon traversi. Its description in RNAcentral is "partial 12S ribosomal RNA". Lineage: Eukaryota; Metazoa; Mollusca; Gastropoda; Neogastropoda; Muricidae. The record is from RNAcentral.
AACCAAGAAAGUUAAGUCAUAUUUAUAACGGUAAAAAGACAGUUAAAUAAUUUUAUAAAGUUUAUUUAAUGUUUAUAGAAAGGUAGAAUUUGAAUAUAAACACAUAAUUUUAUUAUAACUUAUGUAUUGAAGCUGUGAUAGCCUUGAGGGAAACUGGGAUUAGAUACCCCAUUAUUCUUGGUCGCAAAUUAAGUAUAUUUACCAGAGUACUAUGAACCAUAAAAGUUUAAAACUCAAAGAGCUUGGCGGUGUUUUAGACCUUUCAGGGGAACCUGUCUCAUAAUCGACAAUCCACGCUAUACCUAACCUUUUUUUGCUCUCAGUUUGUAUACCGUCGUCGUCAGGUAACUUUUAAAAAUUUAAAAGUUAGCAUUAAAAACUAUGUAAGUUUAAACGUCAGAUCAAGGUGCAGCCUAUAUAAAGGUGAGGAUGGGUUACAAUUAUUAAAUUAUAAUUACGAACUAAUUAUUUGAAUGAAUAAUAAUAAAGGAGGACUUGAAAGUAAAUUGAAUUAUAUAGAUAUUKWGAAUARRGCUCWGAAACGU